RNAcentral lists this microRNA (20 nucleotides) under Zea mays. RNAcentral describes it as "zma-miR169n-3p". Its record names the gene zma-miR169n-3p. Lineage: Eukaryota; Viridiplantae; Streptophyta; Magnoliopsida; Poales; Poaceae. The record is from miRBase by way of RNAcentral.
GGCAGGCCUUCUUGGCUAAG